RNAcentral lists this ribosomal RNA (1369 nucleotides) under Asiablatta kyotensis. Its description in RNAcentral is "16S ribosomal RNA". The stretch from base 889 to 1249 matches the Rfam family "Archaeal large subunit ribosomal RNA", at positions 2150 to 2716 of the family's 2987-position model. Lineage: Eukaryota; Metazoa; Arthropoda; Insecta; Blattodea; Blattellidae. The record is from RNAcentral.
UCGGUAUAACUUGAUAAUGAAUAGAUUUAUAUUAAUUUAUAGUGUUAAUAUUUAGUAGAAAAAGUAUUUAAUUGUUGUUGUAUUUUUUUAAGAUAUAAUUUAUUUUAUUAUAGUUUAUUAGUACUGUGAUGGUUUAUUGAAGUAUAAUAUUAUAUUAAAAUAAGUUGAUUUAAUUUAUUGUACCUUGUGUAUCAGGGUUUAUUAAUAAUAUUGUAUAAAUUUUAUUUUUCUCGAUUUAAGGAGAGUUACUUAUUUAUAUAAUUUACUGUUAUAUAAGUAUUUAUAAUUAAUAAGUGGAAAUGAUAUAUUAUUCGUUCUUUACUAUAUCUAGUUUUCUAAGAAAUGAAUUUAAUUCAGGUAUUAAAUAUUUAAAAAUUUAAUUUUAUAAAUGUUUUAUUAUUUAAUACAAGUAUUUAAAGGGAUAAGCUUUUAAAUAAAUUUUUAUAAAUUAUUUAUUUAUGUUUAGGUUAAAUGGAUUUAAGAAUGAUCAUUAAUUUGAGUAUGUUAAAAUUUUACCUUUUUAUUAGAAUAUUUUUAUUAUUUUGAGUUUGUUAUUAGAAAUUUUUAAUUAAUUAUUAUUUAAUUGAUAUUAUGAUGAAAUUAGUAUAUUAAAAUAUUUAUAUUGUUUUUGUGAAAAAUUAAGUAUUUAUAAGGAAUUAGGCAAAAUUAUUGUAUUCGCCUGUUUAACAAAAACAUCUUUUCUUGUAUUUAUGUGAAAUAUAACCUGCCCACUGAUAUAAAUUGAAGGGCCGCGGUAAUUUGACCGUGCAAAGGUAGCAUAAUCAUUAGUCUCUUAAUUAGGGGCUGGAAUGAAUGGUUGGACGAGAUACAUACUGUCUUUUAUUUAAAUUUAAAAUUUAAUUAUUAAGUAAGAAAGCUUAAAUUUUUUUAUGGGACGAGAAGACCCUAUAGAGUUUAAUAAUUUAUAGUAGAUGAUUAGUUUGAUAAAAUAUUUUUGUUAUAAAUUAUUUUGUUGGGGUGAUGAAAAGAUAAAAGUAACUCUUUUUAUUGUAAAAUAUUUAUUUAUAGAUAUUUGAUCCAUUAAUAGUGAUUAUAAGAUUAAAUUACCUUAGGGAUAACAGCGUAAUCUUUUUUGAGAGUUCAUAUCGACAUAAAGGGUUGCGACCUCGAUGUUGGAUUAAGAUGAAUAUUGGGUGUAGAAGUUUAAUAUAUUAGGUCUGUUCGACCUUUAAAAUCUUACAUGAUCUGAGUUCAAACCGGCGUGAGCCAGGUUGGUUUCUAUCUAUAAUAAGUUAUAAUAUCUUAGUACGAAAGGACCAGAUAUUAAGAAUAAUUUUAUUUAUAUGAUUAUUAAUAAUUAUUUAACUAUUUUGGCAGAAAAGUGCAGUGGAUUUAGAAUCUAUAAAUA